GACGAACGCUGGCGGCGUGCCUAAUACAUGCAAGUAGAACGCACAGUUUAUACCGUAGCUUGCUACACCAUAGACUGUGAGUUGCGAACAAGUGAGUAACGAGUAGGUAACCUGCCUGGUAGCGGGGGAUAACUCUUGGAAACACUAGGUAAUAUAGCUUAAUAUUCAUUGUUGCAAAGUAAUUAAUUGACAGGCUCACUUGUACCACUACCAGCUCGACCUGCGUUGUAUUAGCUAGUAGGUGAGGUAACGGAUCUACUAGGCGAAGAUACAUAGCCGACCCUGGAGGGUGAUCGGCCACAAUUGGACUGAGACACGGCCCAGACUCCUACGGGGGGCAGCAGUAGGGAAACUUCGGCAAUGGACGAAAGUCUGACCGAGCAACGCCGCGGGAGUGAAGAAGGGUUUCGGAUCGUAAAGCUCUGUUGUAAUAGAAGAACGGGUGUGAGAGUGGAAAGUUCACACUGUGACGGUAACUUACCAGAAAGGGACGGCUAACUACGUG
This 505-nucleotide ribosomal RNA is filed under the name uncultured bacterium. Its description in RNAcentral is "partial 16S ribosomal RNA". It matches the Rfam family "Bacterial small subunit ribosomal RNA", at positions 28 to 507 of the family's 1533-position model. The record is from RNAcentral.